UUAGGAAUAUUCGUCAAUGGGGGAAACCCUGAACGAGCAAUGCCGCGUGAGUGAUGACGGUCUUAUAGAUUGUAAAACUCUGUUGUAAAGGAAGAAAUCUUAUCAUAGGGAAUGAUGAUAAGUUGACGGUACUUUGCCAGAAAGCCCCGGCUAACUACGUGCCAGCAGCCGCGGUAAUACGUAGGGGGCGAGCGUUAUCCGGAUUUAUUGGGCGUAAAGCGUGUGUAGGCGGUUUAUUAAGUCUAAAAUCAAAGCCUGAGGCUUAACCUCAGUUAGUUUUAGAAACUGGUAGACUUGAGUGUGGUAGAGGCAAGUGGAAUUUCUAGUGUAGCGGUUAAAUGCGUAGAUAUUAGAAGGAACACCAGUGGCGAAGGCGGCUUGCUGGGCCAUUACUGACGCUGAGACACGAAAGCGUGGGGAGCAAAUAGG
Molecule: ribosomal RNA, 429 nt
Filed under: uncultured bacterium
Lineage: Bacteria
Description: bacterial SSU rRNA
Rfam family: Bacterial small subunit ribosomal RNA
Source: RNAcentral